UCUUUCUUUUUUUUUUUUUUUUUUUUUUUACAUUGAACAGACAGGAUCUCUGUCCUUUCCGUUUAAACAGGCUGGACCGGUUCAAGUUCCGAGUCAGACCAGGGGUGGGGGCGGCGAGUGAGCGCGCGCGGAGGAGGGGGGACGCGGGGCCCGGAGAGGGAGAGACGCGGGGGGGCUCCCGCGCGGCGGCGGGCGGCGGCCGGGAGCAGGACGGCGUGGGGCGGCGCCGGCCCCGCCGCGCCUCCCCCGUCGGCGGCCCCGGCGAGCGGCGGUGGUACAGUCCGAGACAGCCCCCGGCUAUAAAUAGCGCCAGGCGCAUGGCUCUUCGGGAGGCGCUGAGAUUCCGGGCCCGGCGGCCGCGGGGAGCGGGUGCCCGUUAGGAACGGGGCUGCUGGCCUCCUCUUUGCCUUUUGGGGGUUCUUUUUGUAAUAGCAGCAGACUAGAAAAAGCGAGUCGGCUUGGAGGGAGUCCGCCCAGCGAUCCGAGUGCGCAUUGAUCAGUGUCGAGAGAAAAAAAGCUACAUAAAUAUAUAUUAUGUGGAUAAAUCUGUAGACAAGA
Neofelis nebulosa (Clouded leopard) is the source of this 558-nucleotide long non-coding RNA. RefSeq lists it as uncharacterized. NCBI's taxonomy places the organism in Eukaryota, Metazoa, Chordata, Mammalia, Carnivora, Felidae. The record is from RefSeq and is a predicted model, not a curated record. The transcript has 2 exons.